Molecule: ribosomal RNA, 253 nt
Filed under: uncultured bacterium
Lineage: Bacteria
Description: partial 16S ribosomal RNA
Rfam family: Bacterial small subunit ribosomal RNA
Source: RNAcentral
UACGGAAGGGGCAAGCGUUGUUCGGAAUCAUUGGGCGUAAAGGGCGCGUAGGUGGUCUUGUGUGUCUACCGUGAAAGCGUACGGCUCAACCGUAUUUAGUCGGUAGAAACUGCAGGACUUGAGGCUGGGAGGGGCUGGUGGAAUUCCCUGUGUAGCGGUGAAAUGCGUAGAGAUGGGGGAGAACACUCGUGGCGAAGGCGGCCAGCUAGACCAGUUCUGACACUGAGGCGCGAUAGCGUGGGGAGCAAACAGG